This 564-nucleotide ribosomal RNA is filed under the name uncultured bacterium. RNAcentral's name for it is "bacterial SSU rRNA". It matches the Rfam family "Bacterial small subunit ribosomal RNA", at positions 338 to 916 of the family's 1533-position model. The record is from RNAcentral.
CCUACGGGAGGCAGCAGUGGGGAAUUUUCCGCAAUGGGCGAAAGCCUGACGGAGCAACGCCGCGUGAGGGAUGAAGGCCUCUGGGCUGUAAACCUCUUUUAUCAAGGAAGAAGAUCUGACGGUACUUGAUGAAUAAGCCACGGCUAAUUCCGUGCCAGCAGCCGCGGUAACACGGGAGUGGCAAGCGUUAUCCGGAAUUAUUGGGCGUAAAGCGUCCGCAGGCGGCCCUUCAAGUCUGCUGUUAAAAAGUGGAGCUUAACUCCAUCAUGGCAGUGGAAACUGUUGGGCUUGAGUGUGGUAGGGGCAGAGGGAAUUCCCGGUGUAGCGGUGAAAUGCGUAGAUAUCGGGAAGAACACCAGUGGCGAAGGCGCUCUGCUGGGCCAUCACUGACGCUCAUGGACGAAAGCCAGGGGAGCGAAAGGGAUUAGAUACCCCUGUAGUCCUGGCCGUAAACGAUGAACACUAGGUGUCGGGGGAAUCGACCCCUCCGGUGUCGUAGCCAACGCGUUAAGUGUUCCGCCUGGGGAGUACGCACGCAAGUGUGAAACUCAAAGGAAUUGACGG